GAGCCUCCCUAGAAGUUGUAAAGACAUUAUUCUCUUUCUGGGGAAAAAAGGUGUUUGUGUUUCUCAUUCAGCUGAGAAUGAUGGCUUUUAAGAAUGCUUUUGUGUAGCUUCCCUUAGUUUUCCAGAUCAUAAUUAUCCAGAGUUCAGCAAAUUGUGAAGAUGAUCAAUUGUGAGAAGUGGGUUCUGGAGUGCUCUCCAGAUAUCGCAGCACGCCCCUGGAUGACCUGCCUGAACAACGAAUGCAAACUUGUAGUAUUCUCUUCCUUUUUUAAAAAAAAAACAACGUAUCUCUUUUUUCUUUUGCAAGAAAUUCUGCAACUUUCAAGUCUUUCGAAGACAGAGUUGGAACCAUAAAGUCCAAAGUCGUGGGUGGCAAAGAUAACGACGGCGCCAACCAGCUCCAUUCGCCGACGGCCGCUGGUGACAAGCCGCCCCAGGACAACGCACCUUUCUAAGUCCUACUGCCGCGUGGCGGUGCAUGGCUGCCAGUGCCCCACCCUUUGCCUCUUCCCAACACGCAAGAUGGAAAAAAAAAAAAAGGAAAAAAAAAAAAAAAGAAGAAUCGCGGUCCCAACUCGGAAGAGAGACACAUCCAUACUUCCCUCUUCGCUGCUGGAAUCUUCAGGUCCAAUAAAGUGAACAGACAGCUUUUUGUACACUUAUACCUAUUUUACACGAAAGGCUUCUCAGAAAGAGCCCUGCGCUGCGCUUCCUUUUGGAAGGGGGCCAUCAGCGGAGAGGGGAGGAUUCUGCCGUUUGAGCCUAAAAAGAUGACCUCCCCUCUUCUUUCAGGCUUCGGAGGGUUGUAGACACUGCCCGCUCCUUGCUCCUCCAGUGGCAAGUGGAAAAAAUCGAUUUUUUUUUAAUGCAAUACGGGGGGAAAGGGUCGUUUUAGGAGGCAUUUAGCUGCACGCCAAACAGCCCAGCGCUCCAUAUUAUACCCUUAUAUCUUCUUGGUCUAUAACUAGCUAGCUAGCUUUCAGUUAUUCAAGCUCGUUUCCUUUCUGGGCAAUUAAUAGAGUGCCUAUGGCUGCUUUGGAAACCUUGCCAUCUCUUGUUUAGACCGAUAAACCAUCAAAAUCAAGUAGGCGGGGGGGAGGGUUAAAGAUAUUCCCCCUUCUUUCCCCCCCCCCCCCCCCGCCCCCACUCUCUCUUUUGGGAUUCCCAGAAAGGAAUCUCUUCUCAGCCCCAGCCGAGUUUACCACCCGGGCUUCUCUUAAGCUUUAAUCAAUCUCAGAAAGUUUAUUUUUUGCGGGAGGCAUUUGCGGGGGGGGGGGGGGGACACUUUUCCACAGCGCAUCAGCUUUUUCGCAUCGCGAUUUAGCCCCCCCCCCUUUGUCUCUCGGACGCGGGAGCUGAAACACGAGCCUUACGUCACCACCUGCUUUAAUCGUUUAUAAUCUUUUUAUAUCUCGAGAAGCAUGAAGAAGGUUGCGGGUGAGGAAGGGAAGGAAAAGAAAGGACAAACAGGUUGAGGCAUCUUAACCGUAGAAACUGCAUGUGGCUCUUUAAACAUUCAUUUCGGCGUGUUGCAUACAUACUCGCUUGCACGCAUGUUCUCUCUCUCUCUCUCUCUCUCUCCCUCUCUCUCUCCCUUGGAAUGUAUGGAAUUUGCUUUUCUGUCCUCUGGAUUUGGGUCUUGCCUUAGAAAGUCCCGGAGGCGGCGAGGGAAACCACCGGGAUUAUCGGGGCACACCCCACAAUUCCCUUCUGCCGGGUUUUUCUUUCUUCGUUGCUUCUUCCCGGAACUUUCCGUCCGAUGUUUUCGAGAUCCUGAUGGCGGGAAUCUUGUUCACGGCUUCUGCAACCCAUGGUGGUCGUGGGUGGCACUGUGCCUUGUGGCAGCCCUUGGCGAUUCUGCCUGGAAACACUAAUACUUUGAGGGAAGGGCGAGAAGGCGGCGUUCUCCCGGCCUCGUAGCUUGAAGGCAGAGGCGCCCCGAAGCGAUCCAGACUUUUCUGUGCCUUAGAGGCUCAGUGGGAUGGGAAGCCGUGCGCCCCACAAUAGAUACCAACAGUGACACUUAGCACCCAGAAAGGAGGAUUUGGUGACCCUUCCUCUUGUCUCUCCAGUCGCCCGAGAAGCAAGUUUUGAGACUCAAAAACGCGGACGGUGACCUUCUUCCUGCGUCCUUCUGUUGCUGUUGGCCGAAUACUUUCCUGGGUCAGAACCUGGCUCAAGAGGGUCAGGAGAUGCACAGAGGUGAAGAGGGGGGGGGGGGGUUAUUGUAGUUUCUGAAGAGGGAGGUUAGCCCACCCGCGUUUGGAAAAAGAAAAAAAAGGGAGAAUUGGUGUGGAUGUGACCGGGUGCUGCAGGACGAGGCUUAAGUUGUUUCUCCUGUAAUGGGUCUGGGGGAAAUUUGUCAAUAAAAUGUUCCUUUUGGAAAAGCAGA
Molecule: non-coding RNA, 2392 nt
Organism: Notechis scutatus (mainland tiger snake)
Lineage: Eukaryota; Metazoa; Chordata; Lepidosauria; Squamata; Elapidae
Source: RefSeq, a predicted model, not a curated record